Otolemur garnettii (small-eared galago) is the source of this 105-nucleotide small nucleolar RNA. NCBI's taxonomy places the organism in Eukaryota, Metazoa, Chordata, Mammalia, Primates, Galagidae. The record is from Ensembl.
AUCCUUUUGUGGUUCAUAAGUGUGAUGAUUGGGUUUUCACACUCAUGUAUGAGAUAUGCCUCCCUCAAAUCCCUGUUAUAGCAUUGGCACAUUACACAUCUGACA